UGAUGAUUACUUGGUGCCAUUUGGAGUUU
RNAcentral lists this non-coding RNA (29 nucleotides) under Rattus norvegicus (Norway rat). The record is from RNAcentral. Lineage: Eukaryota; Metazoa; Chordata; Mammalia; Rodentia; Muridae.